AAAUUGCCCACUCUUUGCAGGAGGCAGUUAUGAGACGUGAAGAUGAGUAUCUUGUAAAGAGGGAUAGGAGAAUUGGAGGGCAAGUUUGGUGCCAGCAGCCGCGGUAAUACCGACUCCAAGAGUGUGUAUGAGAGAUGCUGCAGUUAAAAAGUCCGUAGUCAUAGAAGGGCAAAGAGAGAUGCGAGGUCUCACAGUGCGAUGAUGGAGGAGCCGAUGGGGAACAUAGUAUACCAGGGCGAGAGAUGAAAUGCCAAGACCCCUGGUGGACUGAGCGAGGCGAAGGCGAUGUUCUUGUAGGCAUUCGGUGAUCAAGGACGAAGGCUGGAGUAUCGAAAGUGAUUAGAUACCGCAGUAGUUCCAGCAGUAAAAGAUGCCGACAUGCUCAUUGGACACAGUGGGCAGGGAGAAAUCUUAGAGUUCGGGCUCUGGGGAUAGUAUGCUCGCAAGGGUGAAAAUUAAAGAAAUUGACGGAGCUACACCACAAGGAGUGGAUUGUGCGGCUUAAUUUGACUCAACGCGAGGAAACUUACCAGGGCCAAGUAUUGUGUAGAAACGAGCAAUACAGGAGUGGUGCAUGGUCGUUGGAAAUUGAUGGGAUGACUUUGACCUUAAAUGGUUGAAUGAGUGAGAUCUUUUGGACAUGUUCCGCACGGAACAGGAAGGAAAAGGCUAUAACAGAUCCGAGAUGCCCUCAGAUGCCCUGGGCUGCACGCGCAAUACAAUAGCAGGUAGAGAGAGAGACAGGAAGGUGCUCAGAUGGACUAUGUGCUGUAAGGCACAUACGAAAGAGGAAUUCCUAGUAAGUGUGUAUCAACAAUGGAU
Molecule: ribosomal RNA, 822 nt
Filed under: Vittaforma corneae
Lineage: Eukaryota; Fungi; Microsporidia; Nosematidae
Description: SSU rRNA
Rfam family: Microsporidia small subunit ribosomal RNA
Source: RNAcentral